AUUGAUUCAUGUUACACGUUUCAUCUGCUACUCCAGCAACACCAAAGUUUCACCAAGGAUCAACAUCGGUGACUACAAGUUUAGGUAGCAGCACAGUCCUCAACUCUGCCUUCUGUACGGAUGACGAUGUGCGCUUUUUGGGAAUUUCUUGGCAAUGGAGUGAUGGGGAUCAGGUCACGAUGAUCCGCGUUAACGAAAUAAACAAGCAGGAGCAGUACGAUGAGCGCAUAUCGGCGAGUUUAGUUCCGCAAUCCGGUCAACCUGGCUGCUAUGUUGGAUCGCUGAGAAUACAGAACAUCGUAAAGGACGACACGGAGAAGACGUACAGCAUUUUCGCAUACAGCGAUGCUGGGGACAGUGAUUUCCACAUGCGAAUGACCAUGGCUCACACGGAGCUAUCAGCGGGAGACAUUGCUGGAAUCGUCGUAGGAUCUGUCCUCUUCUUGAUCGCCGCCAUCUUGCUGGUCAUCUGCUGUAUAUUUAAUAAUAAGUCCAGUACCUGCACAGAUGACAUUGUUGCUCAUUAGUAACGAGUGGGCUAUUGAGCUGUAGUGACGUGUUAUAGCAGGGGUUCUCAGUACAAAACUCGAUCGCAAAAGCAACGUGUUGCUCAUGUGACUGCCUCGUUGCCAAAUUAACACACUGACAGUGGUAGACGGAUCUGCCGAUGCCUAUAUAGUUGUCAUUUUACAUCGGUACCAUAUUAAUCAACGCAUCUGCCAGCUUCAACACUUGGCUCAGUUGCAAUAAAUUUAAUUGAAGUUACUUAGUAAGAUAUCACUAGCAGAGUGAACGCAGACUGUGAAUAAGUUUUUAAUUUCUGUAAUUGUGUUGUUGAAAUAAGUUGUGAUUUCCGAUAAGUGUUCAGAAUUCACGUCUGUGAAUGUGAUUUGCUUAGCCGCGGUAGGCACGACCAAUUGUCUCCGACAUCGUUUGAAGACAUUUCGUGCAGAGGUUCAUCUACGUAUUGUACUAUGUAAGCUAGCGAAGAGGUAUGCUGCAUGACAGCAAACUGCUCAUAGUUAACGAGAAGUAUUGCUAGAUGGCGACAAGUUAGCUUUGAUUGGUGCUGACUUUUAUACACUGGUUGUUGUUAAAGUUUUCACAUGGGCGCAAUACGUGGAUAAAUGUCUUGGUUUAGCAAACUAGUAAAUGUCUAAAUCCGAGCCUAAACGAGGAAAAAUAACCUGCGGUUUCACUGGAGGAAUAACACCAUGGCGUUUUUAAAACAUCGUGUACACCGACUAUAUAGUAAGAAACCCGUCCGCAGCGCAGACGUGGGGCCGUAUAAACAUAACGCCAAACCGAAUAUUUUGCAAUAUUCUUUACUUGUAAUAUAUACAUUUGUGAGACACUGCAUGUAGUGAAUUAGGAUUAUUUUGGCUCAUCUACUUAUCUACCUCAAAAUGCCUGGUCGGAUUCAUGCAAACAAGCAAUGAUAAAUGUGACCUAAGUAGGUUCUGUAAGUAAGUAUUGUCUGUGACUGUAUAUCUGCCGUACAUUAACAAAUGUGUUUACUCGAGCAAUGUAAUCAGCUUAUGCGCAAAAGUUGUAACGCAUACCUUAAACAAUCUAAUCUAUAUUUGAGUUCGUGCUGUCAUAUAAAUGGCAUACGUAACAGUUUUUCCCCAUGCUUAUUAUCUUA
Priapulus caudatus is the source of this 1645-nucleotide long non-coding RNA. RefSeq lists it as uncharacterized. The record is from RefSeq and is a predicted model, not a curated record. Lineage: Eukaryota; Metazoa; Priapulida; Priapulimorpha; Priapulimorphida; Priapulidae. The transcript is spliced from 3 exons.